This 316-nucleotide ribosomal RNA is filed under the name Acanthurus nigrofuscus (brown surgeonfish). Its description in RNAcentral is "partial large subunit ribosomal RNA". It matches the Rfam family "Bacterial large subunit ribosomal RNA", at positions 2172 to 2569 of the family's 2925-position model. The record is from RNAcentral. Lineage: Eukaryota; Metazoa; Chordata; Actinopteri; Acanthuriformes; Acanthuridae.
UAGACACCAAGGCAGACCAUGUUAAUUACCCCUAAACAAAGGACUAAACAAUAUUGAACCCUGCCCUAAUGUCUUCGGUUGGGGCGACCACGGAGAAAUAAAAAACCCCCGCGUGGAAUAGGGAUACUAUCCCCAAAGCUACGAGCCUCCGCUCUAUCAAACAGAACCUCUGACCAAUCAGAUCCGGCAAUGCCGACCAACGGACCAAGUUACCCUAGGGAUAACAGCGCAAUCCCCUUCUAGAGCCCAUAUCGACAAGGGGGUUUACGACCUCGAUGUUGGAUCAGGACAUCCUAAUGGUGCAGCCGCUAUUAAG